Molecule: ribosomal RNA, 430 nt
Filed under: Naegleria italica
Lineage: Eukaryota; Heterolobosea; Eutetramitea; Acrasida; Naegleriidae
Description: eukaryotic LSU rRNA
Rfam family: 5.8S ribosomal RNA (bases 27-171)
Source: RNAcentral
GAAAAAGUUAGACUUUUUUACCCCCAAACUCUGUGCAAUGGAGCACACGGCUUAUGCAUCGAUGAAGCCCGCGGCAAAAAGCGAUAUGUAAUGAGAUUCGUUAGCCUCGCGAUUCAUCAAAUUGGUGAACACAUACUGGACCUCUUCGGAGGUACUUGCGUUAGAGUGCUAGUUUUCUAUCAAUUGAUCCUGGUAAAAGGUGUUUGAAUCAUUAGGUUCUUACGCCCUAGCCGGUGUAGCCGGAUUCUCUCUGAGAAACCGGAUUGUUCUUGGAAAAAUGACAGUGUGUUGUUGGUUUCUGCUUGAAUAAAGAGAGAUCAACACCAUUAUUGUCUUUCUCUAGGUCAAUCACUUUUUAUAUUAAACUGGCCUCUAAUGUGAGAGGGUACCCCCUGGAUUUAAGCAUAUUAAUAAGGGGAGGAAAAGAAAA